GUUGGUUCGGGCAUGUCCGGCAGGUGGUUCUGUGGAGUGCAUCAGGUGGUUCCGGCAUACUCGGCAGGUGGUUCCAGCAUGUCCGGCACAUGGUUCUGGAACGUCUGAGCGGUGGUUCCGGCAUGCCCGGCAGGUGAUCCCGGAGAGUCCUCCAAGUGGUUCUGGCGUACCCCGCAGGUGUUUCUGGUGUGUCCGGCAGGUGGCUCUGGUGAGUCGAGCAGGUGGUUCCAGCGUGCUCGGCAGGUGGUUCAGGCAGGUCCGGCAGGUGUUUGCCGUCUGUCCAUGACGUGGUUCCGGCAUGCCCGCAAGGUGAUUCUGGAGUGUCCACCAAGUGGUUUUGGCAUAGCCGGCAUAUGAUUUUGGCCUGUCAGGCCACUGGUUGCGGCAUGUCCCGCAGGUGGUUCCGGCGAGCUCGGCAGGUGCUUCCGGGCUCUCCGGCACGUGGUUGUGGCACGUGUGAGAGAUGGUUCUGGCAUGCCCGGCAGGUGACUCCGGAGUCUCCGGCAUGUGGUUCUGGCUCCUCUGAGGGAUGGUUCCGGCAUGCCCAGCAGAUGAUUCCGGAGUGUCUGCCGAUUGGUUCUGGCGUAGCUGGCAGGUGAUUUUUGCGUGUACAGCAGGUGGUUCUGGGGAGUGGAUCAGGUAGUUCCGGCAUACUCAGCAGGUGGUACUGGCGUGUCCGGAACAUGGUUCUGGCAAGUCUGCGAGGUGGUUCCGCCUGCCCGACAGGUGAUUCCGGAGUGUCCGCCAAGUGGUUCUGGUGUACCCGGCAGGUGAUUUUUGCGUGUCCGGCAGGUUGUUCGGGUGUGUCUGAGAGCUGGUUCUGGCAUGUCCGGCAGAUGAUUCCAGAGUGACCACCAAGUGGUUCUGGCAUACCCGGCCGGUGGUUUUUGCGUGUCAGGUAGGUGGUUCUGGCGAGUCGAGCAGGUGGUUUCAGUGUGCUCGACAGUUGGCUCAGGCGGGUCUGGAAGGUGGCUUCAGUCUGUUCAGGGUGUGGUUAUGGCAUCUCAGGCACAAGGAUCUGGCACGUCCGAGAGGUGGUUCUAGCCGGCCCGACUGGUGUUUCCGGAGUGUCCACCAAGUGGUUCUGGCGUAGCUGGCAGGUGAUGUUGUUGUGACCGGCAGGUGUUUCCAGCAAGCCCGGCAGGUGAUUCCGAAGUGUCCAGCAACUGGUUGUCGCGUAGCCGGCAGGUGCUUUUGGCGUGUCUGGUGGUGGUUCCGCGGGUCAAGACAUUUUUCCGUCGUGUCCGGCAGUUGGUUCCCGUCUGUCCGGCAGGUGGUUCUGGGGUUUCCGGCACGAGGUCCUGGCACGUCUGAGAGGUUGUGUUCGCAUGCCCAUCACGUGAUUCUGGCUUGUCUGCCAAGUGGUUGUGGUGUAGCGGGCAGGUGAUUUUGGCGUGUCCAGCUGUUGGGACCGGUGAGUCAAGCAGGUGGUUCUGGCGAGUGUUUCCUGUGGUUCCGGUUUGUCCAGGAGAUGGUUCCGGCCUGUCUGGCACAUGCUUCGGGCACGUCUGAGAGGUUGUGCUGGCAUGCCCGGCAGGUGAUUCAGUAGUGUUCGCCAAGUGGUUCUGGCAUACACGGCAGGUGAUUUUGACGUGUGAGGUAGGUGGUUCCAGCGAGUCGAGCAGGUGUUUCCGGCAUUCUCGGCAGGUGGUUCAGGAGGGUCUGGCAGGUGGUUUCCGUCUGUUCGUGUUGUGGUUCCGGCAUCUCAUGCACAUGGUUCUGGCACGUCUGAGAUGUGGUUCCGGCCGGCCCGACAGUUGUUUCCGCAGUGUCCGCCAAGUGGUUCUGGCGUAGUUGGCAGGUGAUUUUGGCAUGACCGGCAGGUGGUUCCGGCAGGCCCGGCUGGUGAUUCCGGAGUGUUCGGCAAGUGCUUCUGGCGUAGCCGGCAGGUGAUUUUGCAUGUCCGGCAUUGGUUCCGGAGGGUCGAGCCAGUGUUUCCGGCAUGUCCAGCUGGUGGUUGCGGUCUGUAAGGCAGGUGGUUCUGGGGUUCCCGGCACGAGGUUCUGGCACGACUGAGAGGUUCUGCCAGCAUGCCCUUCACGUGAUUCCGGCUUGUACCCCACGUGGUUCUGGUGUAGCGGGCAGGUGAUCUUGGCGUGUCCGGCAUGUUGGACCGGUGAGUCAAGCAGGUGGUUCUGGCGACUGUUUCCUGUGGUUCCGCUCUGUCCAGGAGAUGGUACCGGCCUGUCCAGCACGUGCUUCUGGCACUUCUGAGAGGUUAUGCUGGCAUGCCCCGCAGGUGAUUCCGGAGUGUCCGCCAAGUGGUUCUGGCAUACCCGGCAGGUGAUUUUGCCAUUUCCGGCAUGUGGUUCCAGCGAGUCGAGCAUGCGGUUCCGGCGUGCUCGCCAGUUGGUUCAGGCAUGUCCGGCAUGUGGUUCCAGUCUGUCCGGGAGGUGGUUCUGGCAUGUCCGGCACGUGGUUCCGGCACGUCUGAAAGGUGGUUCUAUCAUGCCCGGCAGGUGAUUCCAGAGAGUCCACCAAAUGGUUUUGGCGUAGCCGGCAGGUGAUUAUGACGUGUCCGGCAGGUGGUUCAGGCGAGAUGAACACGUGGUUCCGACGUGCUCGGCACGUGCUUCCGGCGUCUCCGGCACGUGGUUCUAGCACAUCUGACAGGUGGUUCCAGCAUGCCCGAAAAGUGAUUCCGGUCUGUCCGGUACGUGGUUCUGGCGUGUACGGCAUGUGGUUCUGGUAUGUCUCAGAGGUGGUUGCGCAUGCCCAACAGGUGAUUCCGGACUGUCCGCCAUGUGGUUCUGGCACGUCUGAGAGGUGGUUCCAGCAUGCCCGGCAGGUCAUCCCGGAGAGUCCUCCAAGUGGUUCUGGAGUAGCCCGCAGGUGAUUUUGGCGUGUCCGGGACGUGGUUCCGUUGUGCUCGGCAGGCGGUUCAGGCGUGGCCGGCAGGUGGUUCCAGUCUGUCCAGUACGUGUUUCCAGCUUCUGCGGCACGUGGUUCUGGUACGUCUGAGAGGUGGUUCCUGCAUGCCGGGCAGGAGAUUCCGGACUGUCUGCCAGGUGGUUCUCACAUAGCCAGCUGUUGAUUUUGGCCUGUCUGGCAGGUGGUUCCAUCGAGUCAAGCAGGUGGCUCUGGCGUGCUCGGCAGGUGGUUCCGACAUGUCAGGCAGGUGGUUCCGGUCUGUCCCGUAGGUCGUUCCGGCAUGUCUGGCACGUGCUUCUGGCAUGUCUGAGAGGUGGUUCUGGCAUGCCAGGCAGGUGAUUCUGGAGUGUCGGUUAAGUGGUUCUGGUGUAGCCGGCAGUUCCUUUUUGCGUGUCCGGCACGAUUGUCCUGCCAGUCGAGCACGUGGUUCCGGCGAGCUCGGAAGGUGGUUCCAGGUUGUCCAGGAUGUGUUUCCAGCGUGUCCGGAACGUGGUUCUGUUACGUCUGAGAGGUGGUUCCUGCGUGCCAGGCAGGUGAUUUUGGACUUUCCGCCAGGUGGUUCUAGCAUAGCCAGCUGUUGAUUUUGGCCUGUCUGGCAGGUGGUUCCAGCCUAUCGAGCAGGUGUCUCCGGCGUGCUCUGCAGGUGGUUCCGGGAUGUCUGGCAGGCGGUUCCGGUCUGUCCGGUAGGUGUUUCCGGCGUGUCCAGCACGUCCUUCUGGCACGUCUAAGAGGUGGUUCCGGCAUGCCUGGCAGGUGAUUCCGGAGUGUCCGCCAAGUGGUUCUGGCGUACCCGGCAGGUGAUUUUGGCAUGUCCGGCAGGUGUUUCUUGCGAUUCGAGCAGGUGGCUCAGGCAUGCUCAGCAGGUGCUUCCGGUGUGUCCGGCACGUGGUUCUGGUGUGUCUGAGAGCUGGUUCUGGCAUGUCCGGCAGAUGAUUCCGGAGUGUCCACCAAGAGGUUCUGGCAUACCCGGCAGGUGAUUUUGGCGUGUCAGGUAGGUGGUUCCGGCGAGUGGAGCAGGUGGUUCCGGAUGCUCGGCAGGUGGUUCAGGCGGGUCUGGCAGGUGGUUUGGUCUGUUCGGUGUGUGGUUCCGGCAUCUCAGGCACAUGGUUCUGGCACGUCUGAGAGGUGGUUCUGGCCGGCCUGACAGGUGUUUCCUGAGUGUCUGCCAAGUGGUUCUGGCGUAGCUGGCAGGUGAUUUUGCAUGUCCGGCGUUGGUUCCGGCGAGUCGAGCUGGUGGUUCCGGCGUGUCGGGCAGGUGGUUGCGGUCUGUCCGGCAGGUGGUAUUGGGGUGUCCGGCACGAGGUUCUGGCACGUCUGAGAGGUUGUGUCGGCAUGCCCUUCACGUGAUUCCGGCUUGUCCCCCAAGUGGUUCUGGCGUAGCCGGCAGGUGGUUUUGCAUGUCCAGCUGUGGUUCUGGCGUGUCGAGCUGGUGGUUCUUUCGUGUCCAGCACGUGGUUCUGGUAUGUCUGAGAUGCGGUUCCGGCAUGGCUGGCAGGUGAUUUCGGCGUGUCUGCCAUGUUGUUCUGGCAUAGCCAGCAGGUGAUUAUGGCGUGUCCGGCACAUGGUUCCAGUGAGUCGAGCAGGUUAUUCCUGUGUGCUUGGCAUGUGCAUCUGGUGUUUCCGGCAGUUGGUUCCGGCGUGUCAGGAAUGCGGUUGUGGCAAGUUUGAGAGGUGGUUCCUGCAUGCCCGCAGGAGAUUCCAGAUUGUACACCAAGUGGUUCUGGUGGAGCCAGCAGGUGAUUUUGGCGUGUCCAGCAGGUGGGUCCUGCGUGUCGAGCAGGUGGUUCCUGCAUGCUCGGCAAGUGGUUCCGGUGUGUCCGGCAGGUGCUUCUGGUCUGUCAGGUAGCUGGUUCCGGCAUGGCCGGCACGUGGUUCUGGCACGUCUGUGAGGUGCUUCGGGCGUGGCCGGCAGGUGAUUCCUGGGUGUCCGCCAAGUGGUUCUGGCAUCACCUGGAGGUUAUUUUGGUGUGUCCGGCAGGUCUUUCCUUCUUUUUGGGCUCGUGGCUGUGGCUUGUAAGACAGAUGCUUGUGGCAUUUCUGGCCCCCGUUCUUUCAUACUCCUCAGCUGGUUUCAGUGUUUCUGGCACCUGUUUGUGGCAUAUCCAACAGGUGUUUACAAUGUGUCUGGCAUGUCGUUGUGCUAUGUUUGGAAUCUGGUUCCGUCAUGUCAUUGUGUGGGGCUGGCAUGUUGAAGAGAUGGUUCUGCAGUGUCAGAAUCGCUGUUCCACUGUGUCCGGCAGGUGGUUACAGGUGGUUAUGGCAUGCAACGUGGGUGCUUCUGGUAUGCCUGUUGGGUCAUACUGGCAUGAAUGUGUGGCCCUUUGAGAACGUGUGGAGGGUGUUCUUGGCAUGUCUCCCAGGUUUUUCUGGCACAUAAGGGGCAUGAUUCCUUUUUAUACAUCAGGUGAGUUUGUUCUCAGCUUCCUAAAGAGAUGGAAGGAAGAUGGUCUGUGGCUUGUGGCCCCCUGAGGGGUGGAGCCAAUGCAUUGUGCAUUCCAAUCUAGAGCAAUGGAGGGCAUGGCUGAGAGUAAAGUAAAUGUGUCUUUCUGCCAUUGGUGCUUUCUGACACUCUCCCAACCAUUGCACUUGGUGGUUAUUUAAAAGCCUAUUGUCUCUCUGCUCCUCAGCAUGUGGAACCACAAUCAUCUGGGCCUCAUCCCAAUUGCUCAAGGGGAAGAUGUAGGCAUUUCGUCUGAGCAGGGUUGGCAAGGUGGAACUGUGCAGGAUGCAGAU
Molecule: long non-coding RNA, 5604 nt
Filed under: Equus caballus (horse)
Lineage: Eukaryota; Metazoa; Chordata; Mammalia; Perissodactyla; Equidae
Description: lncRNA (ENSECAG00000056625.1)
Source: RNAcentral